GGUCAUCAGAUAGGAGCGAA
RNAcentral lists this small nuclear RNA (20 nucleotides) under Arabidopsis thaliana (thale cress). Its description in RNAcentral is "snRNA_11733". Lineage: Eukaryota; Viridiplantae; Streptophyta; Magnoliopsida; Brassicales; Brassicaceae. The record is from RNAcentral.